GAGACAGUGUUACUUGAUUAGUUCUACUUAUUUUCUCUUUAAAGAAGUGGGAUAUUAUGAUAAUAUGAUGCCAUAUAAAAUGUUACUUCUAGUUAAUUUUUGUUUGCUUCUAAAUGUUAUUGACCACAUUCUUGAAACUGGCUUGGUACAUAACCAUCCAUCAAUAAAACAUGUAAGGUUUUGAAUGUCUACAAUUGGUAGUUUUUUCUGGGUCAGCAAAUUUGAAUCAGACUUAUAGAACAAGGAAAUGAGAAUUUGUGUAUACCAUGACAUAACCCACCCUAUUAUCCAGGCACAUCGAAAUAUUGAAUAGACAGCAGUAAUCUAUCCAAAGAUUGCCAAUAACAUCCUAUCUUUUCAGGAUGUCGAUUAAAUCAGAAUAAAAAACAUGCAUGAUUUCUUUUCUUCUAAAAUUAUUUCAAACAGCUAAUCCUAACCAAUGGUUUUCCCAGUCUCAUGUGACACAUGCCUGUUUGGUACGUUCACUAUUGGAAAAUAGCAUCAAGUUUGAAACUGAAACUUAUAAGUACAUAACAGUAAUCAGAAAAAUAUCCCAAAAGGCCCAAAUAGUGUUACUGAAAUGUGCAUUUCUUUCAUUUGGAUUAUUGUUCACAAAGCAUAUAAGAAGUUAUACACAUGUUUUUAACUCGAUAAGAGGUGAUGUAUAUGUUUGAUGGUUGAAGGCAAAAAUUUCUAGUUUUCCAUUGUUUACAAAUUACAAUUAUUAUACCUCAUGUCGUCUAUGGGUGUGUUUGGUUGGGCUGUGGCUUUUGGAAAAGCUGCUGUGAGCUGUGGGCUGUGGAAAAGCAGCUGUGAGAAAGCAGCUGUGGGAAAAGCAGAAGACUGUUUGGUUAGAGGAGCUGUGAAACUGUAGGCUGUGUAAGAAAUAUCUGUAAUGUCCCUAAAGGUCUGUGAGUGUGUUUAUAUGCAAAUUGCUCAUAACAAAAUAAAUUUUAUAUAUUUUUCAUCCAUUAAAGUGAUUGGUCCACAUAAAUAGAAUUAUAUCCAUCAAAAGUUCUAUACAAGGACGCCAUCCUUCAACAUGGAUGAGCAGGGAGCGGCGGACGGCGGGCCGGCGGCCGGCAACCGGGGGCGACGGGCGGCGGGUUGCGGCGGCCGGGGUCGUUGGACGGCGGCCGUCCGGGAGGGCGGGGUGUGGCGGGCGGCCGGGGGCGUCGGGCCGGCGGCCGUCCGGGGGGCGGGGUGGGGCGGGCGGCCGGGGGCGGCGGGCUGGCGACCGGGGGCGCUGGGAAGCGGGCUGGCGACCGAGGGCGGCGGACGGCGGGCCGGCGGAUGGCGGACGGCUGGCCAGUAGCCGGCGACUUGGGGCGACGGGCGGCGGCGGCCGUCCGGGGGUGGGGUGUGGUGGGCGGUUGGGGGCGCCGGGUCGGCGGGAAGCGGACCGAUGGCGUCCGGCGGUGACGGGCGGCGGGCGGACGGACGCGGGCGGCGGGGUGCGACGGGCAGUGGGCGGCAGGCGGCGGGGUGCGGGCGGCGACGGGCGGACGGACGCAUCGAGAGAAAUAGAUCGGCGCAAAAAACGAAUCGUUACCUUCAUAAUCAGUGGCAGGUGGGUAAUUUUUUACCCUAAAAGCACUUGAAAGCAGGGGGAAGGUGCUUUUGAUUUUGUACUAGAGCAAAAGUAGCUUUUGGGCAAAAGCACGUAGAGCUUUUAGACCCUUUGGUUGGCUUUUGGCUUUUGGAAAAGCAAAAGCAGGUUGGAAAGCCCAACCAAAGGCACCCUAUAUAUGUUAGAUCCAUUGCAAAGACUGUGAACUCGAGACUUGCUCGUUCACUAACUCUCAGUGGAGAGGGAGUUUAAUCUGUGUAAUCCAAUUGCUCAACUAGAUAUUGAUGUAGAUUGCAGUGUAUAUAAGCUUGCCUUAGGGAUGCAUCAUGGAGCAAGUAAUGCUAUGAUGGAGGUCGCAUGAAAAAUAUUACAGCCAAGAUCACCUAACAGCAAUGAAAACAAGAAGCAAAUCUUAUGAGAGUAGCACUCAAUAAGAACUCAAAGUUUAUUCAAUAAAAAAUUUGGAGAACAUUCAGUUAAUUCAGUCAUGCUCAUGCAUAUUGGAGUGUUAUUUGACAUACAGUGGCAGCCUUGCACAAAACAUAAAACAAGAAACAUGCAAGUCAUUUCCUAUCUUGGACUUGCAUGCAUCUCUAUCUCUAAGGUAGUGAUCAUUAGGAGCAAUUUGUUGAUCCAUGUGGUUGCUGAGAGAGCAUAUCAGUUCUUUAGUUAGCUAAUGUUAUUUUCAAAUUUUCUGCAGCACUGCCAAUGGCCGGAGAUGAGGAUCCAAGAAGUGGCGAGCCAGCAGCCCUCUCGAAUAAAGUGGGCGCUUCCAUCUGCGAGAUGGCACCUGAGGUGCUUUCCAAUGAAGCCUUGUCCAGCGAGAAGGAACCUGUAGAGACCAUUGGGCAAUCCAAGGCAACAGGGGAAGACAAGGAGGCUAGGGACGACAAUAGUGAAGAUAAGCGAAACAAGAGAGCUAAAAGGUAGAGUAGCAGGUUGUACAAUAUCACAGUAUUUUGAAACUAGACUUUUUUUCCAGUUUUAUUAAAACCACGACUUGUUUGGCAGGAUGUACCAUUGACAACAGUAUUUUGUUUUUUUUAAAUCGGUUAUUACUUACUAGAAUAUUCCAGUAAAUAAGCUGCUUGGACGCGUAUCCCUGAGUUGGGAGAUAAGAUCAAGAUGUUCCGUUAUUUAAAUAACUUUUGUGCCAAAGAUACUAUAUAAAUCGAUCUGGGAUGAGUGAUGAGCAGUCAGAAGCUAAUAUUUUCUUUAAUCAAACUUGUAUACCAGUUCUUCAAGCCUCUUUGCUAUCUCUAUCUUUCUUUUUCAUCUCUUGUUGCCAUGGAAGCAUGUGUGGCCGUUUUGUUCACGAGAGCUCAAGAUCGGAGAUAGAUGGAAAAGGGAGCACGCAUCGGACCCAAAACUCCCGAUAUAACUUUUUUUCCACGCGUUUAUAUUUGUGCUAACACGUUUUCCAUUUUUUAAAAUAAUUUUUAAGUCCAUAAAGUUUGUCAUGAUUAUAUAGUUUUUUAUUCUAGGUGUGGACAGUACUGUAUUGUAGUGAAUAUAUGACGUGUAUGUUUUGUUCUGAGUGUUCGAGCUGUAGUAAACUUUAUUCCUGUGGGUCAAUACAUGUCGCGUCCAGCCCGUGGGCCAAACCAACCCAGCCCAACGACAUGAGCCCGUGAGCCAAACCAACCCAACGACAUGAGCCCGUGGGCCAAACCAACCCAAAGACGCAAGCCCACCUAAUCUAUUUUUUUUAAAAGACCAAGCCCACCAAAUCUCGCCGACUUCCUCGCAGCCCUUCCAGCCGCGCCGGCAAGUCCUCGCUUCCACAUCACACAACCGCCGCGGGUCGGCGGCGCCAUCAACCCCUCCACUCCGCCGCCGCGCGCCACCUCGACCUCGCCAUUUUAUGUCGCCCGCCUCCUCCCUCCUCUCCCCGCACGCCCCCCGGCGAAUCCUCCCGCUCCUCCUCCCCCUCCGCCUCUCCUCCUCCUCCUCCGCCGCCUCCGCGCCAAUGCCUCCCCGACGCGACGGUGUACGUUCUCCUGCCCUCCCUCCGCCGAUAAACCCUCUAAACCCUAACCCUGCCUCACACUCUCUCUCUCUCUUCCACGCAGACCAAGCCGCCGCCGCGCAAAUGGAAGCCCAAGGCCACCGACGCCUCCUUCUCCUCGUCCUCCGCCUCCGCCGCGGCCGGGAUCGCCGAGCCCGUCGGGAGGAUGACCCUCGCCUCGCAGGAGCCGCCGCGAGCGGGGGCGGCGCAGAUGUGGGUGCCGAGGGGCUACGCGACCUCCGCGGCGGACGCCCCCGGCGUCGCCUCCGCGUCCACCUCGGCCUCCGCGGCGGUCACGGCGGAGCAGGGCGGUGCUGCGAGUGGGAUGCUCUCGAACCUCUUCAAGGUGGACAACAACACCUUCACCGAGGCCCAGAUCAGGGCCACGUUCUACCCCAAGUUCGAGAACGAGAAGUCCGAUCAAGAGGUGAGUGCUUGGUCUGCUGCUGCUGCUGUUCAAUUUGUCAUCGUCCCUACCAUUUCUGACUUGUGACUGACAAUGACAAGUGUUUUACCCAAAAAUCGUGGAGGAUUCACCCUGUGAUUGGUAGGCUGGUUCUGAUAAUCUGAUGCUUAUAGAUUGCUGUCACAUUGUGGGUUGGCUGGGGUUAGUUCAGUAGUUUUUGGUGGGCAUAGGUUAACCAACAAUUGCUGCCUGUUUCCUAUGCAUUGUGGUGAUUGGCGAAAUUGACUAUUGGAAUUCCUAGAGGAUUUGCAGAGUACUUCGACUGAAAUUAGCAUUUGUACAUUCUGUGAUGAUUUGAGCAGUUGCACACUCGAACAUGGUAUUGUAGCUGUAGAGCUCGUUCCAGGACUUGAUGAAGUCAUCUAAAUUUUCAUCAGUUAAAGGAUAUAACCAUUUAAUCUUUCUCCUAAUAAACAUUUAAUUUGCAUCUCUACUCAAUUUUCAAUUUUUACUGUAGCUGUAUAGCUCUUGGUGACUUUGAUGUGGCCAUAAUUAGCCUCUCAUAAGGCAACGCUUAAUGAGCUCACUGUGCAAUAAAUUCUUGUGGUUGUAGAUUAUUCUGUCUUCGUUUUUCUGUUGUUGCCAUUCAGUCAGUGGAAUAAUAAUUUUAGUUUUAUUGAGAAGCUUACACUCACAUUUGCGAUGACAGACAAGAACCAGAAUGAUUGAGAUGGUAUCGCACGGCUUAGCAAACCUUGAGGUAUGUCUGAUAUUUUGUUUUGCCUUUUAAUCAAUUAGUGAACUAAUUAGAAAACCUUGAGUGAACUAAUCAGUGAUCAUAGUGAUGAUGAAUUCCCUCCUAAUAUAGUAUAAGAACAUUAUUCCUCCAGGUUACACUCAAGCAUUCUGGGUCACUCUUCAUGUAUGCUGGUCACCAUGGUGGUGCAUAUGCAAAAAACAGCUUUGGGAAUGUGUAUGUUUUGUUCAUCUCUCCUCAUUAUUUUAAGAUCAAUUUAUGUGAUGAUUGAAGUUUUCAACUUUUGCUUUUAGAUACACUGCUGUUGGUGUUUUUGUUCUGGGGCGUUUGUUUCGUGAAGCUUGGGGGAAGGAGGCCCCUAAAAUGCAAGCAGAAUUCAAUGAUUUCCUUGAGGUAUUCAAUGUUUAGGGCAAUGUUUCUCAAGAACAUCAUGAUUUUCUUGUUUGUGGAGUAAUUCAUAUAGCAGUGGAAUAUAGCCUUGAACUAAGGAGAAUUAAUUUUGUUUAUUUUCUGUUGUGGUUUCAGUAUAACAUCUUAACAUUGCAUCUUUCUUAAGUAGCCUAGGAAGUUAGAGGAGCAACCCUAGGCUUGCUUAGCUGUUUUGCAUAUUUUGCAAUGUGGGAUCUAGUUGGAUGUUGGAAACUUUGUUAGUAAGAGUAAGUUUUUACUGUUACAGCUCCAAAAAAAAAAUGCUUUUAGCUAACAAGUCGAUGAAAAAAUCAGGAAGUGUAUGUGCUUUCAUUGCAGUGCUAGUUAAUAUAAUCUACUUAUUAAAUUACUAUUACAUUAAAACUCAUCAUUUUAGCUCUGCUACUUUUUUGCUUUCUGGGUAAUGGAGGGUUUCUGGCUCUGCAUAUUUCUCGCAGUUCCUAAUUUUUACCUGUUUUCUGCUUCUAGAGAAACCGUAUAAGCAUUUCAAUGGAACUUGUGACAGCUGUGUUAGGAGACCAUGGGCAAAGGCCUAAGGAUGAUUAUGGUACGUCCUUUCUUCUGUCCAAGGCAAUUAGUAAUCUACUUAUAGUUCGUUCAACUUUUUUAGAUAUUUAUUGAUUUCGGUAAUUUUUAAAGAAUAAAAAAGGGUCAGAUUUUGAUUUCAGUGGUUUUCUUUACACUCACAAAAUCUACCAUUUUGUUGUGUCACAACUGUUGAAAUAUCUUUAUUGGAUAGAUUCCUUAUGUGUCACUGAUUAUUUCUUUGUUUCCUUAUGUCACCGGAUUGCAAAGCCAUUUUUUUUCUUUCCCAUCGUUGACUGUUAAAAGCUUGUAAAAUGUUGCAUUUGUAUGGUAAUCACCAAUUUGCCCCUAGUUUACAUGGACAUCGAAACUUCAACAGUUUAUUUCCUGCAGUGGUACAUUUGGAAAGUUCUAUUUGUCUUGUAAAAUUGUAAUGUAAAAUCAGCACCAACUAUUUAUCUUUUUUCUUUCUAUUUAUAAUUUAUAUUGCCUUUGGAUAUGACUCUGCUGGUACUUUAGGGCAAUUAAUUUUGCGUGCUACUUCUCCUGCACCAUUACUUUACUAUUGAGUUGUUUGCUGCACUUGUUUAUUUCAUUACUUUCACUGUUAUCGCUAUGUGUAUAUUUAUUCAUUUUUGUUUUGGGCGCUAUGCAGCUGUGGUUACAGCUGUAACGGAGUUGGGUCAUGGCAAGCCAAAAUUCUAUUCUACUCCGGAGGUGAUCGCAUUUUGUCGGAAAUGGCGCCUUCCUACGAACCAUGUCUGGCUAUUUUCUACAAGGUAUCCACCAAUAACUUUAUGCUCAGGAACAUUGCAUUAUAAAGAAUUUGGCUGCUUUGUUUCAUGUGAGAUACAUUUACAUCCUUUUUAAAAUUGAGUGUGAAAUGAUGACAACCUUGUAUAGGUUGUUUAGAGAUGGACGUAAGAUCUUCUAAUAAUACACUUGUCGAUUGUGUCAUCUACUUUCAUAUUUUCCAAUCUUGUGGUGUUUCGGCAACUUGCAUUACUAUGCAUGCCCUCUGCCAAAAUUGUCUUAUGCUUAGUUCUUGUCACAAUGGUUUGUUGCAUUGGCUGAUAACCUAUGCUAAGCAUGCUCACUUUUUUCAUGCUAAGCAUGGCUGAUAACCUCCGCCAUUUGCCGAUCUUGUUGGGUUUCGACUCUAACCUACCCCAACUUGCUUGGGACUGAAAGGCUUGGUUGUUGUUGGUGGUGUUGUUCUUGCUUGCCCUCUGCCAUCUUUUGCUUUUUUUCCUGUCACAAUGGAUCGUUGCGUUUACUGAUGGUUUAUGCUGAUGCAUGCAUAAUUUUUCCUCUGCACUAUCAAUUAGUACAUGUGCGUUAUCAAGGAGUAUAGACUUUUGUAUCUCUUAAGUUGAUGUACCAUGUUUAUACUGCUAAAAACAUGUUCAACUGCUAGCUUGUUAUUGCAUAAUGCUAUUUUUUUUCAUGCUUGCAUUCAUCCAUCGGAUGGCCUGCAGGCACAAUUUUGCAUGUAAUUGCAGGAGCAACUUACAGGAGUUAUGCGUUCACCGCUGAUUCUGAUCAUAACAUUACUAUGCUCUCUAUUUGCAUCAUUCGGUAGGAAAUCGGCCAGUUCAUUCUUUGCUGCUUACGAUGCAUUAUGUGAAGAAGGAACUGCAACACCUGUUUGCAAAGCCCUUGAUGAAAUAGCUGAUAUAUCGGCACCAGGUAAAAAUAUCUCGACUGAUUGUUAUACUGACUGAUGUCUAAAUCAAUCUUGUUCUUUUUCACCACUGUUAGGUCUGGUCAGUUAAGUACCACCUGUGGUUAGAAGUUGGGAACUCAUGCUAGGUUAAUUCUGUUGCAGGGUCAAAAGAUCAUGUAAAGGUGCAGGGUGAGAUCCUUGAAGGUCUGGUUGCUCGUAUUGUGACUCGUGAAAGUUCAGCUCAAAUGGAAGAAGUUUUGAGAAACUUUCCACAGCCUCCAAUAGACGGCGGUAAGCUGCUGAACUAGAAUCCUAUAUCUUAUCUCAUUGUUAAGAGCAGAUUACGUGAGCUUUACAAGAAACAAGAAGUUUUGGUUUAGGUGGUUAUUUGAGGAAAACUUUUGGAUGCAUGUGGGUUUGUUCUAACUUAUGAGAUUAUCUCAUGAUGCAUUUCAGUUAUGAGCUCACAUUCAGGUUUUCCUUUCUCGUUCAGUUGAUUUAGAUUUGGGACCAAGUUUACGAGAAAUAUGUGCUGCUAAUAGGUCAGAUGAAAAACAGGUAUUAAUUUUGUCAUGUGGUUUUUUAUGCUUUAUGAUAUGUGCUCCAUGUUGUUCAACCUUGCUAUAACCUCUUUGCAAUUAUUUGACCAGCAAAUUAAAGCACUUCUUGAAAAUGUUGGAGCUUCGAUGUGUCCAGACUUUUCAGAUUGGUUUGGACAUAGUGGACUUGAUGCUCAGUCGAAAAGUACUGAUAAAUCAGUUGUCCCUAAAUUUUUGCAAGCACAUCCUACAGACUAUGCAACUAAGAAACUGCAGGUUGGUAGCUGUAUUUCUCAACUGGAAUGGGCAGGGUUUUGUUAUAAAUAAAGUUGCUACAACAAUGUAUCAGUAACUAUACAGACAUUAUAUGUUUAUUUUGUUGACUGUUGCAGGAGAUGAUUCGCUUGAUGAAGCAGAGGCACUUCUCAGCAGCUUUCAAAUGUUACCUGAACUACCACAAAACUGAUUCUCUUUCAAAUGACAACUUGUGUUACAGGAUGGUUGUACAUGUGCAUCACGAUUCUGUUUUUAAACGUUAUCAGCAAGAGAUGAGGUGAGCUUUGUGAAGUCAGCCUUGUGCUUUACCUUUUUUUUAGGGCAAGCCUUGCAUUUUACCUUGAUAUCUCUUUUAUUAACUCUAAACGUAUGCUGCUAUUUUUAGGAAAAAACAAAGGGUUGUGGCCUCUAUAUAGAGGUAAGCUGAGCCAAUUGUAAUUCAGAUAUGAGCUAUGGUUCCAUUCACUGACAUGUAUUCCAUGGUUAGGUUUCUUUGUUGAUGUAAACCUGUUCAAGGCGACGAAUAAGAAGGCAGCUGAACUUGCCAAAAAUGGCGAUGCUUUACUGAAAAAUAUCAACGGUGCCAUGGACUCAAGUUCUUCAACUGUGGAUGGUCUGGCUGAUGAGGAUUCAAAUCUAAUGGUUAAGCUUAAAUUCUUGACAUAUAAGGUACUUUCUAUCAGUGUUUUCAGCUUUCUUUUUGGUGUUAUUGGUCACUUCUUGAGAUACCACUACCAGCAUUAAAGGUUAAUGGUUAUGUUGGAUUGUUCAUGCUCAUUUUGCUGUGCUUCUAAAUUAACUUUUGAAAUGUUACUGCUACGCCUACGGUUAUGCAUGGUUGUGCUAUUCCUUUAUUGCCAUCUAAUCUACUUUUGGUAUUUCUGUUGCACUUCAUUUCCCUUUGAAGCUAUUUUGUUUUUGAAUGUGUUAAGGACUAAACCCAUAGACUUUGUUGUAUUCUGAAUCCUCUAACAGUUCUUAUUUUUCUAUUUGACAGUUAAGGACAUUUUUAAUUCGUAAUGGCCUGUCUACCCUUUUCAAAGAUGGACCGUUAGCUUAUAGAACUUAUUACUUAAGGUAUGCUAUGCAUGCAAAUUUUCAGUUUCUGUCAUAUUUCUGCAACAGAUAGGGUAUUAAUGAAGAAUUGAAAUGAAAACAUAUUCAGUUUGCUACUUUCUGGUACAACUGUUCUAUUUAAGAUGUCUCCAUAAUUAUGUAAUGCUAGAAAAACAGUGCUAAUGCUUCUUCUAGACCUAUGCCUGUUUAAUACUGUGUUGAUGAGCAAUGCUAAUAUCUUUCAAGUGUAGCCAUGCAAAGGCCGGAUAGAGCCUUUUCUGGCAUUCAAGUUCUUUUCUUCAUCACACAAUAAUUCGAAUAUUUUAUUCUUAUAGCUGUAAAGUUUUUAUUUUAAGUUCUGUACUAUAUAUAUAGUUUUAUUUUGCUGUAAUAAUAGAAGUAAUUCUUGGAGAUUUUAGUCAUAUAAUCUUCUGUGCUCUCUAUUAAAUAGAAAAUAUGCCAUCUCUGAUGUUAAUACCCCUAUAUGUGUUGAUAGGCAAAUGAAGAUUUGGGGAACAUCACCAAGCAAACAGACAGAGCUUAGCAGAAUGUUGGAUGAAUGGUACUAUUACCACCUCCUUUCGCUUACAGAACUGUGCAUAUUCGUUCAUUUAAUUUGAUUGCCUUACCCAUUCAGGGCUGUCUACAUUAGAAGGAAGUAUGGGAAUAAGCCACUGUCAUCCUCAACAUAUCUUAGUGAAGCAGAGCCUUUCCUUGAACAAUACGCUAAACGCAGCCCUUCAAACCAAGCUUUGAUUGGGGCUGCUGGUAACCUAGUGCAGACAGAAAAUUUCUUGGCCAUACUUGAUGCAGAGAAAGAUGAAGAGGGUGAUCUUCGGGCAGAACAUGGGGCAGCACCUUCUAGUCCUGCAUCAACGUCUGCUGAUGUGGUUCCCAAAACAGAGGGCCUUAUUGUCUUCUUCCCGGGUAAAGUAACUUCUGACAUGUGCUUAACAACUUUUGAGUUGCAUUAGGAUAACUGAGACACUGGGUGUCUUUUCACUAAUCUGAAUUGAAAAGUACGAAAAAAGUUUAUAUUAUUCCACUGGUUUGUGGGUAUACGGUAUAUCUUGACUUUCAGCUGGGUUACUGAUGUGCCACUCUGGUCGAACCAUCUCUUAAUCUUAAAUAAUACUAGGUCUUAAGGUAAGCUUUAGGUUUUCUUAAUCCAUCUAAACAUACAAAAGUUGUAGUGUCCACUUGCUUAUCCAACACACAAACGAUAGCCAAUCAAGCUUAUAGCCCUUGGACCAGAUAAACUAAGUAAUCGACAAAAAUUAUGUUGGUACAGUGUUCUUAUUGGUAUUUUUCUUACCAAUCUUCAUCCUGUUCAUACUUGAAACUGUUAAAAUAAAAUAUUUCUCCUAUCAAACAGUAUUGUUUUAUAUUAAAAAAAUUGUGUGUGUGUGUGGGGGGGGGGGGGGGGGAUCUUGAUGCUGAUUUUGUACUUUCGUUUCAGGUAUACCUGGUUGUGCAAAGUCAGCUCUAUGUAAGGAAAUAUUAGACACACCUGGUGGCCUGGGUGAUAAUCGUCCUCUCCAUAGCUUGAUGGGUGAUCUUAUUAAAGGUAUGGAGCAUUUUCAACAUUAUUUAUGCUGUAUGGUUACUUUGUUUACUGGAGUAUAACGUGGCUUCAAACCGUGAUGGACAGUGCUUUUGCACCUUCUUUAGGACCAUCCUAUUGUGCACAAUGGUUAUGGGCUUACCGAUAUAUGCUUUGUUCCUGCCAAUAUACUGUCUUUGCAUUAUGGUCUGCUGUAUCAACUGAGAGCCUUGAUUUUACUAUCUUGUUCAUUAUGCUGGUGCCUAGUCAUAUUUCAUUCAUGUGCUACGUUACUCUGUACAAUUGGUAUAAACUUAAGUGCCAACUAUGUAUCUGUAAGAGAGAAACUCUCAUCUGAGUCCUUCCAUUCUUACACAAAGUUCUGGUUUGGAGGUUCAGAUUGAAUUAUUUAGUUUGGAAAAGCCCUUUACUGUCUUUUAUUGCUUGCUUUGAUUCCUAAACAAAGACUUGGCUGCCUUGAUACAAGAGGUGCUGGACUGGCUAAAUCAUGGAUAUCUCACUGGCUGUAGUCUCACCUGAAUCCUAUUUGGUUGAUGAUCCAGGCACAUUCAAGCCUGUAUUAUUUGCAUCCCUCUGAUACUUAAGCCCAUACUUUCUGUCCAGAACACAAGUAUGGUGGAGACCUGCUAAAGUGGCAUUUUGCCAAAAAAAAAUGUGGCCAAUUAAAUGAUAUUGUUUGGCAUUUGUGUUAGCAUUGCUGUAUAUCAGUAUCAGUUUUGUUUGGCGUAACUUCCAUUUAUACACAUGCUUGUUCUGUAAAAUUUCUUCCUGGUUUUAGGUCCUGUGAUUAUAUUCAACUUAUCACAAAAAUUUGUUAGGCUUCUAGAGUUAUUGGUAUAUUUAACUAUUUUGUUAACUGUGAUUACAGGAAGAUACUGGCAAAAGGUUGCUGAUGAGCGAAGAAAGAAACCGGCUAGAAUAACCCUUGCUGACAAAAAUGCACCAAACGAAGAAGUGUGGAGGCAGGCAAGAUUGACAUCAUAGUAUUGAUAGAAAACAGUUUUCUGAAUGCUUCAUGUUUCGACUUUAAGGCUCGUUUGAUGGUAGAAAAUAGAGAUAGAACUGAUAAAUCAUCUUUUCCAGAUUGAGGACAUGUGUGGGAGCACAAAGGCAGCCGCUGUUCCUGUGGUUCCAGACUCUGAAGGUAGAUAUGCUUCUUGAUUUAUCACUCCCUUCUUUCUUCUUUACUUCACCAGUAACUCCCUUGUCUUCUGAAAGUUGUGUGCUGCACUUCAAAUUUUUGACAGAGGUGCAAUGUAUGGCACCUAUGAAUCUGGAGCUUCCAAAUUACAGUUGUUAUGGCCUUGAUCCAAGGAGAAUUUGCAGAUUAUAGAAGAAAAUUGCUUAUCUUUGGCCCAUGUUUUCUUGCAUUGUUAAGUUGAUCAUGUUGUGUAACUUUUGUUCUGGUUUCUUGUUUUUGCAGGCACAGAUUCAAAUCCAUUUUCUCUUGAUGCUCUUGCUGUUUUCAUGUUUCGUGUCCUCCAGCGGGUCAAUCAUCCGGUGUGUAGUCACCCAUGCAAAUGUGUCAUUAUCACUUGCAUAUAUAUUGUGAAAUGCCUGACAUUUGUUAGCCUUUAAUUUCAAAGGGAAAUCUGGAUAAGGCAUCACCCAACGCGGGCUAUGUUUUGCUAAUGUUUUACCACCUAUAUGAUGGCAAGGUAUGUACAUGUCACGUAAAUCUGUUUCCGGCUCUUUGAAUUCACCAAAUCACUGAUACUCUCAAUUUCAGAGUCGAAGAGAAUUUGAAAAUGAACUGUAUGAGCGUUUUGGCUCCCUGGUUAAGAUGCCUCUCCUUAAGCCAGAUAGGUAGGGGGUUUUCUUGAAUUGUUUUUUCCUUUGUUCUUUCUAGAAAUACCGUGAAUCCCAGAUUGAGCUAUGCAAUUAGAGAAAAUGUUCAGGCAGAUGUUCGAUCCACUUAUUUUCCAAGAAAAAGACGGCUUUUCAUAUCAUGGGCAAGAAAAAAAAUCAUGAUGAGGUGACUUGUCUAAACUAGUAACUCGAUCUUCCUUUGAUUUCAGAGCUCCAUUACCUGGUGCUGUGAAAGCGGUGUUAGAUGAGGGGAUUAGCUUGUUCAGACUGCAUCAGAGCAGGCAUGGAAGGUAUGAAGAUGUUAGCCCCUUCGAUAUAUAAUCCCCACCUUAUCUGAGCACAUUGUACAGACAAGAAAUCUAUCAAUAAGUUUUGUAGGGCAAAAAUUGCCUUUGUACUAUAGCAAGCUCUUGAAUACAUAGUAAUGGAACAUGCUGUACAAAACACUUCUCCCAGAAACAGUUGAUCUAAUUUAGAGUGUCACUUUGUCUAAUAAUGUUGACAAAACCAGAGCUUCAUUUCUAAAUUUGCAUGUCUAUAUACUGGCUGAUUUUUACAAAACAAUGUCAAACCAGAGUGGAUCCAUCAAAAGGUUCAUAUGCUAAAGAAUGGACACAGUGGGAGCAGAGGUUGCGUGUGACCUUGUUUGGGAAUGCUGAUUAUAUUAAUGCCAUUCAGGUAACUAUUUCAUAGAUAAAUCAAUCAUCAUCCAUAUUCUGUUGUUAUUGAAUGCUAUAGACAGUAAUGUUUUAACCUGUGGGGCCAACUGCUAAUCUGGAAAUACUGUAUAAUUUACUUAGGGGGUCAUUUCCCUAUGCUUCUUAUUUAUGUGAAUAUCAGCAAGGAUUAUUAGGUUAUUAGAAAGGCUGUUCGUUCAAUCUAUCCUUCACCUUAAGUCUCCCUUCAUAUAAUGUUUCAGGAAUAGGAGCACUAUUUUCAAAUGCUAAGGUUUCCUUUUAGCUCUGCUUUAGCAGUAGCGUCAAAUGAACACUUUGAAGUAUCCUGUGAUGUGUAAUUAGGAAGUUCUAUGGUCUGCUAUACACUAGUCCCAUCCUUCGUACUAAAACCACAAUGGACUACUUGCUUUAACGAUACUAAUGAUGAUUCAGUUCUUGUUUAAUCACAAAACUUUUUUGUAGGUUCCGUUUGAGUUUGCUGUGAAAGAAGUACUGGAACAGUUAAAAGCUGUUGCAAAAGGUGAUAUCAAAACACCUGAUACUGGGAAGCGGAAGUUUGGAAAUAUCAUCUUUGCUGCUGUUAGAUUAACCCCAGCUGAUAUAGUGGGCCUUCUCCGUAAGGUGAGAACAGCAUGCUCGAUUGCCCCGCCUUAAGUUUGCUCCAAAUUUGCAGUUACAAACUCUGCUUGCAUGCUUGUUGGAAUCCAUCCCUUUUGUAUAGGCAUGUAGUGCCAGUAGGUUUUGUAUUGUCGAUGAUGAUGUAUCUUAACACUUGUGGUACAUUGCAUUACUGUGACAGGUGUCAGAGAAGGACACUGCCGUAAACACUUUCCUCAACGAGAUAAAACUGGAGGACAGCCUAACCAAGGCCCACGUCACCCUCGCCCACAAACGAGGCCAUGGUGUGGCUGCAGUCGCGAGCUACGGAGUCUACCAGCACCAGGAGGUCCCCGUGUCGUUUAACGCCUUGUACUACACCGACAAGAUGGCCGCCCUGGAGGCGCAGCUCGGGGCCGUGAACGGCGAGCAGAUCGAGUCCAGGAACGAGUGGCCGCACGCCACCCUGUGGACGGCUGCAGGCGUCGCGCCCAAGGAGGCCAACACGCUGCCGCAGCUGGCCGCGGAAGGAAAAGCGACGCGGGUGCCGAUCGAGCCUCCCAUCACCAUAUCUGGUGUGUUGGACUUCUACUGAUUUGCCCGCCCGGGUUUUAGACUCUGUAGGUGCGGAUGUGAACAAUGGGAGAUAUGAUCGUUAGCUUCUGGUGGCCUUACACAGUUACACGUUAGCAGCUGAUCGUGGCAAUAAUUAGCAUGUAAAUUGGCAUUAGUCUCACGCCACAAUUGUGAGGGCUUAUAGGAUCGAACCCUUUUGUUUUCCCCCUCGAGCCGAUCCCUGGGGCGUUAUAAAUAACAUGCCGUGGCUACGGUCGCUUUUCCACGAUUAUGAAGUUUCGAUGCACGGGUGAGCCGAAAGAUACGUCUCGGCAAACAUCUGUAAAGGUUAACGCAGGCUAGCAACAUCCACGAACGGCAUUUGACACUGGUGCCUUAGUGGAAAGCAGACUCGAUCCCGAUGUGUGAAUGUGUCUGAUUACGAACCGUGGACGCGGCAAGCACAGGGAACGGUGCUGAGCGCGUAUACUGGCACAUGUUUUCUUCCACCUGCACUAAGUACGGAUCGGGCAUGACAUGACGCCAUCGGUGGUGGGCCCUGCUGUGACGUGCGCGCGCGGCUGCGAUUAGCCAAAUUGUGGAGCGCUCCUCACCUAAGAAGAUGCGGCGAAAGUUCCAGCCGACAUCGACAAAGAAAAAGGGUGACUUGAUGCUAGCAACAUAUAUAUAGACCUCCCCCGAUCCACACGGUACACAAAGAUAGCGAGCAAUCUGUACACAUCGCGCUGCCAAAAUGCACCUGCCAUCUACUCAGUGGUUUCCUCGUCUCGGGUCUCAAUCCAACCUCCAAACUUUCGAGCCAACAGCAUCCCAACAAGUCAUCGCGCCGCCAAAGAGAAGUAAACUCUAGCUAGCUCCGGCUUUAUUUUCGCAUACCACCUUUCCAAUUCCAUCUCCCACCCGCGAUAGAGAGCGACCCGAUGUUGUCUUCUUCGUAUAUGAUAUGAUAUGACAGUCCUCACAUUAGAUAAUAUGUACGCAUCGCAUUGCCAAAACGCCAGGUCUCUUGUAAGGAACUGCCCAAAUUAUCUCAACUAAAUCAGGUUAUCAUCCAUUGAUCGACCCGACUUACUCGAAAUAAUUUCGGUAGUCCCCGGUAUACGCCUUGAGCAUCGUCCCGCAUACCAUUUUUACAUCAUGGCAAUCAUCACAAGGAUACAUAUGAGAGCAAAUUUUAAAACUUGUUUACAAGUCUUGAUCAUCUUAUAAAAAUUUAUAAAUUAUAAUUACAAUAUAUAAGCAAUUAGAACAUAAGAGUUUCACCAAUUAAAGUGAGGUUUGUAACAAACUUAGAUUUAGCUUAGGUCUAAGUGGCUAUCCUAACAUGUUUUUCUUAGAUCGAGAGUUAAAACGCAGCGGAGAUAUAAAGUAAUAAUGUGCAAUAAUGAUGUCCUUGCCCAUAAGACACCACCUGCACAAGAUUAGAGUGAUAUCCAUCAUUCAUCCAUAUUGCUAGCUUAGGUGGACUGAAUGUGGCAAUCACUUAUAAAAAGGAAACCUGUAAAACAACUUAACGGCAGCACCGUAAGUACAUUGCGUACUUGCAGGACUUAUCCAUAAUACUAUACAUUUGGUGGAUGCAUGAGGCUUGUCAAGUUUGAACAUUAGACCAUAAAAAAAUGCGAGCAUAAUUUAUCAAGUGAAUAAGCAAAAGACAUGGCCUCUACUUUCUCUAUCAAGCACCAAUACAAUUGCAUAAGUAGUAAAGUGAUCAUGUAGUCAUGAGCCUAAUCUUCCACAAGCUCUUCACGAAACUCUAUGUUAAAGUCCAAGUACAUGAGUGUGCUCUUUGACCGGGAACGGGGCUAUUACAAUAGAUUAUAACCCUGCAGGGUGUAACUUUUCCCACACGAGGCGCAAGACCAACGACCAUACCAUUGGCCUAGGAUAAGUGUUGAUUCAUGCCCCCGACUGUUCACAUACCCGCACCCAACUAUGAACGAAUGGCCGGAAAUGUAUAGAUGCACUGGACACGGCCGCUCACACCUCAUCACAUCCCGCGCCGAAUCCGGUCAAGGCAAGGUGCGACUUAUGCUACUUGGCUUACCCUUCCCAUAUUAAGUAUGCGGUUUGUACGAAAUAGUGCUCAAGUAUCACAGUGAUAACGACCAGGCCUUAACCAACUCAAGCAAGCCUAUGCCACUUGGAUUUCACUUUCAACAUGGCCUAACACACUUGCUCAAGUCUUGAAUCAUCAUUCAUGUUGCUCAUCUUUUAUGCUUUCUCAACUACUCAAGUAUAAUUAAGCAAACAUCCAAAUUCUCGCGAGUGGUGGUGACAUUACCACCCCUCGACUUCUACCGAGAACUAAGCAUGACUAAGCAAAUAUAUCGAGAUUUCUAGCAUCCAUACUUUGGGCCUAUUUGGGACUGCUCCGCUCCAAAAAAAAAAUAGCUCCACUCCACCAACUCUAGGAAAAUAGGGAGCUAUGUACCUGUUUGGCUACCGGAUGCAAAUCCAACUCCAAAAAUUGUAGGAACUAGUGGGAAUAGUCACUCUUACUCUUGGGUGAUUUUUUUCCUGCUAGCUACAGUACCACGUGGUGCUACAAUACCCUUGCCACUACAAUACAUGAGGCGCUACUGUACACAUUUCUACUAUGCUUCAUCUUAUUUUUACCCAUGAAAAAUUUACAUAUUGGAGAAUAUAGACAACAUUGUUCCAAUAAAAAUUUAAUAUACCUAAUAGGUAGCACCAAAUGAUAUUACAAAAUCAACCACACCAACAUUAACUAGUUCCAAGCAAGAGAAAGGGCACUGGCCAACUCAUCACGAAAUACAUCCAUAGUUGGAGCAUUAGCAUCGGAAGUAGACCGGUCGGACGCCAAGGGAGAAACUGCAUAUUUGUUAUAUUUGUUAUACCUUUACGGGAUAGUAGGUAUGUAACUAGGAUCACGAUCAAACCAAUCAAAGUUAAUGUCUUCACCUCCAUGUUCACGAAUAUAAUUGUGAAGGACCAUAGUAGCCACAACAAUCAUCUUUUGCUUGUACACGGGGUACGGUGGCAUCUUGUAGAGAAUUUGCCACUUCAUUUUUAAUAAUCCAAACGAUCACUCAAUAACAUUGCGAAUAGAUGAGUGAACACGAUUAAAACAAGUUACAAACGAUCGAAGUGUAUGUGUCAGUCCAGUCCAUCAUAUCGCCCUGACCAUGAUAUUCACAUAUAUUUUCAACUAUUUGGAACACUAGCAAUUGUUCAAAUAUCACAACACUCAUGACACAUUCAUAUAUGCAUAGCAAAUCUAUUAACAUAGAUGAACAUACAUCAAGGACAAUUUACAUACCUCCUCUUCUUCAUUCUUCUUGGCUGCCUUGAAGGUCUUCUUGCUCUAUUCUUGGCCUCGACCUCUUCCUGGCCACUUCUUGCCACAACCAUGGCCAACAUUUCCUUCGUCAGCACCAAGAAAGGCGUCAUCCACGCUAGGGUCAGCCCCAACCAGGGAGUGGCCGCCCUUGGCCAGGCCUCCAGCCAGGGGCUCUUCCAGGCUAGGCUCAGCCCCAACCAGGGGGUGCCUGCCGUAGGCCAAGCCAUGGACGCCCCCGGCCAGGCCGUUGGCUAGGGCUUCUUCUAGACCCGGGUGGCUGCCACCAGCCAAGGGGUGCCCGUCCCUGGGAGCCGGUGAGUGGAACAGACUCCGGCCGACGGAGGUAGAGACACAGGUGGCGUUGGCAGCAAGAACUCUUUGGGCGGCAUGGGCUUGGGUCAAAGUCGAUCCAAUUGGAGGAUUAUUCACCGAUUUGCUAGGAUUGGGGAGUUGAGGAUCAUCCUCGGCAUCCAUCUUGCCAAUUUUUCGAGUGUCGGAGGAAGGGGAGAAGGUGGCGGUAGUGGUGGAACAGAGGAGUUCGAGAGGGAGGGGAGGCAGCGGUGAUAGAAGAGAAACAGGUGCGCGGGGUGAGGAAAGCCUCGAUCUUUUUUUCCUCUAUGAAACGGUAUGUGUAACCUGUGGCAUUGGUGGGUAAUUUCUACCCAACUCCAAGAGAAGGUUUGAAACUAGUGUUUUCGGAGCACCCUUUGAGGUGCUCUAGAAAAACCUUGGAGUUGGUCCCUGGAUCCACCUUUUUUCUGGAGUUGGUGUUAGUGGAGCUGGAGAUGUCUGGCAAGAUGAAUCUGGAGCAGAGUUGCAAAACUUGAGCGGAGCAGUCCCAAACACGCCCUUUCUCUAAAUAAGUUGAGCUAAUUCCAAGAGUUGACAUGUUUAGUAGGUUCUACACAUUGCAUAUAUCUAGAUAGAGCUAAGCUCGUGCACAAUCAUUAAUAAAUAAUAGCUUUCACAUUUAGAAAAUAGAGUUGAGAUACAUAGGUGCCUGCCUGAGAUUGGUGCUCUAAGAAAGCAACACUCUUGGACGUCGUUCUCUAAGAAAAAGAUAUGAAUGCAUGAAUUGGAAAAGAUGCUAUGAAUGCACAUGUGUAUGAGAUGCAAUGACUCAUGGGAAGUAAAAGCUAAGAUGAUUUCAGGUCAUCAAGCAAGCAAUCAAAGGUUAGAAGCAGGACACACAAGCACAACAUAGAGAGAAGGUACUAAAAUAAUAAGCCAUACAUGUGCAUAUAACAUUCUAAGACAAGUGGUAGUAUAAGAAGGUUAUUUAACACUAGUUUUGCUACUUUUUUAGUUGCCAUAUGAACUAUUAUAUAAUUAAAUUAUCACAACAUAAAGCAUCAAUUGGAGUAUUUCUUGAUUGUUAACAAUAUUAAAUAAUUGACAAUGCUCAAGUAAGCUAGCAAGUAACACUAGUUAACCAACAUUAGACAAUUCAAGAAUUAAUGAUAAGCUGUAGCAUCACAUCUGAAAUAGGAGUAAAAAUAUAACUUUUUAAAUGAGAAGCUAUUUAAUCUUGUUACACUUACUAAGGCAAGCAUUAUUAUUCUAGUAGUUUAUAACAUGGAGGUUUCUAAUCACAAAGGCAUAGCACAUUUAUUUAGGAAAUUGCAAACUAUAUGAAUACAUGACUACUUCAUGAGUAUUACCCAUGUUAUACAAUAUAUAAGAGUCCACCAAGGCUAACACAACUAGAUUCUUAAUUUUGGAACACAUAUGUACUUAUUGUGCAUUUUACUAAUUAACUAGGUUUAAGUAAACAUAGCUACAGCUGUACCAAUCUACAUAUGCUUCAUACAAACAAACACUUCUACUAGACGAUACAUGUCAUAUGGAAACUAGCAAAGUUGGUUUCAUAAGUUUUAGACUAACAGAGAAUUAACUAUGCAAAUAACAAGAUAAGCAUAUAUUUAAUCAAACUAGAGAUUAAAGUAAUAAUUUUUGGAGAAAACAUAUUUUUAGCCGGUACUAAAUAUCACGACGAAACUAGUAGAAUUUGUUUCUUAAUAUUUAGAGCAUUAGAGAAUUAGUCAUGUUUUUAACACCUCAUACAUAGCAAUGCAAAUCUUAGGAUAUUAUGAGUGCAGAGAAGAAUGUCAACUAUUUUUAUCAUACAAGUAUACAUGAUAGAACAUUUAAAUCCUACACAAAACAAGGAUAUAUUCACGGUUUUCCUCAAUGGCAUAACUAUAAAUAACUCGUCAAGUUCCCGAAAAUGGUAUUGCCGGUGAUUCUAGUGACCGAUUGCAGUGGGGUUUGAUCGUAGAGCUUUCUUAGGUGAUGGAGAUUCAGUUUUAGAUCAUAGCAACAACAUGCACAGAGGUUUAGACGACAUGCAACAUUAAUGGAGAUAAGCUUCCAUGGAGGUUAAUGGAGGAGCUUCCAAUGAAGGAGAGAGGAGGGGGAAAACAUAGGGGAACCUCACCAAGGAUGGGAAAUGAUGAUUUAGAGAGUCGCAAGUUGGAGUAGAGCAGUGAUGGAGGAGAUUAGGCUUGGACUUGCUUCAUCGGAGUUGAGGAAGAAGAACCCGAAGAACAACUUGUUCCAGGCUGAUUCUUGCGUGGGGGAGGUUGAUGUGGAGGAGCGGGAGCUUGUCCUUGGCCUUGCCAAGCUUUGGCAAGCCAGCUCCUGCCUAGGGUGACAGCGGAGGCGAGCAUCAGGAGGAGUGGCAGAAGCUCGAGGAAGAAAUAAGAGUGAGGGAGAGAGAAAACACGAGGAAGCCUUAGGGGUUUUGUGGGGAGGGUGCGGACGACGUCAGGCGCUUGGCGGACGGGCUGGAGGCCGUGUGGUACGGGAAACGGCUAGCGCAUCAUGGAGAAAACAACGUCAGCUGAACGGAACAAGGAGGAAUCGACACCUGUGGAGAUCUCCAAACAAUUUUACGGAGAUUUCCAUAACUACGGAGUUUUCCGAAAAAAGUUACUGAGUUUCUGCAACUCUCCCAGAAAAGAGAAAACUUCGAAGAAUACGCAAAAAUCUCCGGAUACUCCGCAAAAACCUGUGGAAAUUUCGCAAAACAUUGCGGAAACUCCACACAAAACAUCAUCAACAACUAAUUUGAGAGUUUUGCAUGAAUUUCUCAAGAUUUAAAGGAAGAACAUGUUGCCGGGACUGAAAUGAAAUAGACUGAACGCAUUAAAUAUGUCGAUUCAAAUUGGACCACCUAGAGAUCUCCAAUAAUCAUGAAAUAAAUCAAGGAGGUAGUAUAAAACAAGGUCAACCCAUUUUGCUCAUAACUAGCAUCAUAGCUAUUGCAGGUUUGAAACAAAAAUUCUUCCCAGGAGGCUAUUUUGGAGUUUUCAGGUAAACUGUUUGGUCUCAAGAUGGUCUCUAAAAUUCUAGGAGAAGUUACCUAAAUUUAUGUUUGGAGAAGCACUAAUUUAUCAAGUCAUCUUCCAGCAUAGGUUCAAUGGUAGAAAUCUAAGUUUAUUCACAAGGUACAUGUCAAAAAUCAAGUUUUUAAUUAAAUUUCAAGUCCAAUGGUAAAUCAAUUGGGCUCAAAAGAUGCAAUGAUGUUAGAGAUGAUGCACAUGUAUGCUCCAUGACAUGAUCAACUAUUUUGGGUUAUUACAUCCCUGCUGUAUCAAAACCCUGUCAGCUUCUACCCACCGAUGCAUGCAGCAUACUUGUCGAUACAGAAAGGUUGUUGGCAUCAUUUUGAAGUUAUCGAAGUGAUGGGCAACGACCUAGUCGAGCUGAGAUAUAUAUCAUCUGAUGGCGAUAGGACGGGUGGGAAAUGCAAGCCCCAGAGCAGAUUUCGAAGUAGAGACCCGGCGCCGAGACCAACCGAUGGAUUCGACGUCGUCCGCCGUGCUCGCCGGAUCCGAGGUCUUCUUCCGUCCAAGACGACGACCGGCCGCCCCGGCGCCCACAUGCGUCAGCAGCGUGCACCGGCGUACGUGCAGUGGUACUCCCUCCGUCCCAAGUUACAUGCAAGGAUACAGUUAUUAGUUGCAGCUAGACCUGUGUACUUUCGUUCGUAAGGAUAGUCAUCAAAGAAUAAACAAUGAAGUGUUCAGUUAUGCUUUCUGAUUCAGCACAAGUCUCGUGUCUCGAUGGGUCUGAACGAACCCAAUCUGAAUCCUCUCUUUCUCUGACUGUGACGACUAAUGGAGUCUCGAAGCAAUAAUCUUGGUUUGCCAAGGAUCGGAGAAGGUCUCCGUCACCUUUUGAUUUUGGAAGUGGACGCGCACCUUUUUUAUCUCUUCCGGUCCACCGUACCUGAAAUCUACUCGCCUCGUUUUUUAAAAAAAAAGUGUACUCCAAUUUACAUGGAAGAAAAAAAAAAUUCCUAGUAAUAUAGUAUUCUUUUGGGUCACUAGUCUCUCGUUGGUUAACUUGGCGCUGGCCCACGACAUGCCGAAACGUCAAUCUCAGCAUGUCUGAUGGAUGAUGAUCAGCCCAAUUUUAUUAGCUUACGCUCUGACGAAUUGUGACAACCAACUAAUCUCGGUCGUGAGGAGAAUUGAUGAUACCUGCCCUUUGCAAGGCCACUCGAGUUGCUCAAAUUUCAAACUUGUUGAUUUUUGAUUGAUCGAUAGUCUAGUCUAGCUAAAGAAAAAAUGUGCAGAUUGUAGAGACAACAACGCUGACUAUAGCAACUUCCAGGAACGGCAGUGGUUUCACUUUGGUGCGUGAUGAGUGAGUGGAAAGCAGGAUCAGUUGUGAGUUGUGACUGAUUGCGAUUUGGCGAACAGUGGACCUAGCUGCAACCUGCAAGACCAGGAACAGUGAAGAACACGUAUACGAAUGGAGACUCCCCUUUUUUUUUAAGUUCACACGUCUCAUGUCCCCAUCCAAAAUCUUGAAAACUCGGCGACGAAUAACUUGCCAAGGAAUCUUUGAUUUGCCACCCAACACAUCACCUCUUUUUGUCGUCAUGCACCGUUGCCCCUGUGGUAGAGAGAGACGUGAUGUACGACUCCAUGUCUUCCACUUCCACCCAAGUGGAAAAGAAUGAUGUUUUUUCCAAAGGCAUCUUUUUUGGAUCGAAUUGAGAUUGUCCCUAUUUCAUCGAUAAAGAUGGAGAAACUUUAUAGAAAAAAAUGAUAUAAAAUAUUAUUCUCGAGCUAAAGGUUUCGUACCAUGCUUCUUUUUGGUGUGUCUUCUCAAAGACAUCGUACCAUGCUUCUAUCCUAUGUCGUCGUGUUAUGGCAUGGUGAAUCUUUAGGGGGACCAGGACACCACGUCGCAAAUGAUCACGCCCCAACAAUAUCGGCUGGCGAAAACAAACAGAACCAUGCAUAUUGGAAGCGAUCGAUGAAGUUAAAUACAUACUGCACUGCAUAUAUACUCAGGCGCAAUUUUUGGGUCGCCGCUCGGCUCACUCCACCUGCGUCGUGUUCAGAGGUGAUGUUGCUCAAGUCGAGCUGGACAUCGGCUAACAGGCUGCUUGAGCCGAGCCAAUAGGAUGGAUGGGCGCGUGCUGUAAUUGCGGCGGCUGGUUGGGUGAGGCCUGACCACACGGAGGUCGGGGUCGGUUGCGUCUAUUGGAUGCGGCCACAAAAUACUUAUUCUAUGGCUGGCCAUAAAGAAACACUUAUAUAUACACACACAAAAAGUAAUAUAUUGCUUGGUUAUUAUAUAUAUUCAUAAAUUGUUCAGUCAUGGUCUCUCCGAUCAAGCAGUAGGGAUAUGAUCGAGAAUAUUAGGCUCGUGAGUGAUGACUGAUUGGUCCACUUGGCAGCAUCUACCAGGCCAUUGCUACAUGAUGUCAUGCCUCGGCUCAUCUAUGACGUGUGCGUAGGAUCGUAUCGAUCGACGAGCUGUGAUUAUCCAGCAAGACCAUAACGUCCAAGACGACGGCCGGUCGCUCACAUGCGUCAACGUGCACCGGAGCAUGCGCAUGCAUGCAUCCGUCGCACUUUAUCUAACCUGGAUCACGAUGGUAAUUAACAUUAGACAAUUGCACCGUCCAGUAUAAUUUACACUUUUACAGCAUCAUGUAAUAUGGGAAGUACGUUAUACUAUGCAGCAAGGAACAAUUGCAACGUGACUGCGUGUCACUUGUACCACCACCAGCACAUGUCUCGAUCGGUCUGGACCCAAUCUGAGCCCGGAAUCCCUCGCACCUGACUGGCGACGAAAAACAUUGCAAUCUUGGUUGCCAAGGAAAGAAAAAGCCAAGGGUCUCUAUCACCUUUGUGCACGCCACCUUUUUGUCGCGUCCGGCGGUCCACGACCUAAAACUCCUGUGGCCCGGGAAAAAAGUUGGCCGGCCUCGUAACCAUGCAUAUCCAUGGUCGUGCCGUGUCGAUCUGCCAUGGGAUCGUGCAUGCAUAAGCUCUUACUUCGUUCGAUCUGCUUUCUUUUAAUCCUUGUCCGACACCUGUUUGUGGGAGAGAUCGAGCAGCUCGUGGCACAAUGGCCACUUGUCUUUUGCACCGAAUUCGGGAGAGAGUGACACUAGGUCCACACUAGCUGGUAGCUACUUUUCCAUGCCGUCCACAUCGUCUCCAUUCUUCUUUCUGAUUCACUAGUGCGUGUAUUGGGUUGAACAACUUGAACCCAGCCUGAAUUAGCAAUAGCAAUCUUGGCUGCCAAGGUAAAAAGGUUCCUUUAAGAAAAAUCUGAGACCAGCCAAGGAGAAUAUCGUCUGCAACGCCUUUCCACGCCAUCCUUUUCGUCUCUUUUGAUCCAACUGACACGAUCCAAAUGCCCCUUCCAACGCGCCAGCAGAUCGAAUCAGAACGUGCGUGCUUGUGCGUGUGGGCAAGAAAUGAAAUCUCGUGCCACUCUUAUUUUCUUUCUCAAAGUAUUUGAUGUUUUAUGAGGUGUUGAAAGGCGCAAGUAAUCAUAAUCAAGUAGGGUUUUUAAACUAAUUCGCAAAAUUUUAAACAUUUAGCGAUUUUUCGCGUAAUAUGCACACAAGCAUUUUGUCGGGGUGCAUCGCAAAGUACUUGUGCAGAGGUGGUUUGGAGCCUUACACAUGAAGUUCCAAUUUCCAAAACGGUGAUGAUGCUCAUGGCCAAUUCUGUUGACUCGGUUUAUAUCAAAUUAGUUACUACUAAUGCUGAUCUACCAGGAAAAUUCUACCUGCUGGGAAUAUGCAGUUUUUUUCGUUCAAUUUGCCACUCAUGGAAAAAAAUCACAAAAUCAAUGAGCCUAGCCUAAUCAUCUUUCCUUUUAGGUAGGUUCAUAGGAGAACUAGAAUAUAUUGCUUCCGUCCAUUAUUGGAUCUGUCUAGAGAUUCUUGUCUCACUGAUCUUUUGUCUCCACUAGGUUAAGAUAAUCUCUGCUCCUAUCUUCUUUAUUAACAAUCAAAUUUGAUUAUGUGCAUUCUAAUUUCUAAUAGCAUCAUACACAUAAGAUUACAAGCAUAUACUCUCCUUCUGCAUUUUUUUUCAAAUUUAUAUUAACUAGUAAUUGUCUUCCAUGGGCUGUAUAUCAACUAAAUUUUAGACUUUGAAUCUUUUCUUGAACAGAAAAAAAGCCCCAACUGGAGCAUUUAUUUGCAUAUUCAUCGUGCGUAAAGUAUAUGUUGAGCUCACAUCCAUGUUAAAGAAACUUUCGAACCCAUCUGUGAGAUAAAAAAUUGGCAAAUUCGAAUAAAUAACCUCGCCUAAUGGGAUUUAAAAUUUAGGCUUCGAAUUUUGUAUGGAUAUAAACCAAGAAUCAUCUCAAAAUUUUUGAAAGGUCUAAAUAAGCAUUUUGAAGAAUCUUCAAAAAAUUAUCAAAUUUUGAAUACUUCUAAAAAUAUGCAUUUUGAAGAAUUUGUAGGUUUUGUAAUGCUAGGAGCACUUUCACUAGUGAAACACCCUUUUAUGAACAAAAUACAAAAGGGUAGGGUAUUUUUUUUUAAGUUAGGUAUCGCAUUUUGAACUUUGUAUGACUCAGCGACAGGAGAGCACAUUACGCGGGAUCGGAAGUGCGCUGUAGAUUAUGCAGGCAACAGGUUCAAGUGCAAAAGAGAACAUUGGGUCGAACAAAGUGCCAACCAUCCAAUCUCAUGGGAAUGUUCAUCCAAUUUUUUCUUUCACUUUACUUUUUGCAAUGAAAUAUACAUUCUCAUCAAGUCCUAACUACUAAUGUCCCAUCAUAAACCAAACAAAAAAGAAAAGAGAGAUUUCAUUGGUUUAAACUUUAAAGUGAGUACAUAUUCACCCACUAAACAACUAGAGUACCUGUGAUUUGUGAAUGCCUUUCACCUCCUUUUCCCAUUUGUUUUAUAAAAGACCUUCAGCAAAUGUCUGCCAAACAAUUAUAAAUGAACAUGGCAAAGAUAUAGUGUUGCACGGCACAUUCCAAGCUUCCCAGCAAUUUCUCUCCCACGAAGACGAUGAAGUCUCUGUUGCUCUCUGCUCUAUAUAAACACCAGAGCCCUUCUGAUCACAGAGCCAUACGAGUGAGAGUGAGGCUCACAGGCAGCAUCUGAGAGAGAGAUAGAGAGGGAGGCAGCCAUGGAGGCGUCGUCGCUGUGGAGCGGCCUCAACUCCGGCAUCGUGCUGAGCCUCCUCGCCGUGGUGUGGACCAUGCUGUGGCAGGGCCUGCAGGGCCUCCAGCUGCAGCACCUCUUCGGCCGCCACUCCCGCCGCAUCUCGCGCCGCCUCGCCGCCGCCCUCGACCCCUACCUCACCGUCACCGUCGCCGAGUACGACGGCGGCCGGAUGCGGCGGAGCGACGCGUACAAGGAGGCCCAGGCGUACCUGCAGCGCGCCACCCGCGAGGCCGGCGGCGGGGUGCGCCACCUCAAGGCCGAGCCGGACAAGGACCCCGACCGCCUCGUGCUCAGCAUGGACGACAACGAGGAGGUCGCCGACGAGUUCAAGGGCGCCACCGUCUGGUGGCUCGCCUACACGGCUCCGCCGCGCGAGGACGGCGGUGGCUCCCCCUACUUCUGGGGCCGCGGCGCCGCCCGCGCUGAGCGGAGGUUCUACCGCCUCUUCUUCCUCGAGCGCGACCGCGACCUCGUCCUCGGCGAGUACCUCCCCCACGUCCGCCGCGAGGGACGUGCCGUCAUGGUCGAGAACCGCCAGCGCAAGCUCUUCACCAACAUCUCCGGCGACACCUGGGACUCCGACGGGUUAGUCACCCGACCGACCGCCAUGAAUCAUAGCUUGUUUGUGAUCCCCGCGGGUCUUAUCACUGAUAUCAUCUCCUACUAAUGGCUCCAGCUUCUGGUCCGGCAGCUCGUGGAGCCACGUGGUGUUCGAGCACCCCAAGACGUUCGCGACGCUGGCCAUGGACCCGGCGAGGAAGAAGGAGAUCAUGGACGACCUCGACGCGUUCCGCAAGGGGAAGGACUACUACGCGCGCGUCGGCAAGGCGUGGAAGCGAGGGUACCUCCUCUACGGCCCGCCGGGCACCGGCAAGUCCACCAUGAUCGCGGCCAUGGCCAACUACCUCGACUACGACGUCUACGACAUCGAGCUGACGUCCGUGCGCACCAACACCGACCUCCGCAAGCUCUUCAUCGAGACGACCAGCAAGUCCAUCAUCGUCAUCGAGGACAUCGACUGCUCCCUCGACCUCACCGGCAAGCGCAAGAAGAAGAAGAAGAAGGCGGACGGCGACGGCCAGAGCAAGGACGGCGGCGAGAAGAAGGACGGCGCGGAGGCCGGCAAGGAGGAGGAGGAGAAGGCCGACGACAAGGGCGCCAGCAAGGUGACGCUCUCCGGCGUUCUCAACUUCAUCGACGGGCUCUGGUCGGCGUGCGGCGGCGAGCGCAUCAUCGUGUUCACCACCAACCACGUCGAGAAGCUGGACCCGGCUCUGAUCCGGCGCGGGCGCAUGGACAAGCACAUCGAGAUGUCCUACUGCUGCUUCGAGUCCUUCAGGUUCCUCGCCAGGGUGUAUCUCGACGUGGAUGCCCACCCGCUGUUCGACGCCGUGGCGGCGCUGCUCCGGGAGGUGGACAUGACCCCCGCCGACGUCGCGGAGAACCUGACGCCCAAGGGCCCCGGCGAGGACGCCGACUCGUGCCUCGCCGCGCUGGUGGAGGCGCUGGAGAAGGCCAAGGAGAAGGCGCUGGCGAAGAAGGCCAAGGAGGAUGCGGCGCUGGCGAAGAAGAAGGCCGGAGGAAAGGCGAAGGAGGUGGCGGCCGACGAGACCGACGAUGAUGACGGCGACGAUGAUGACGACGACGAUAAGUAGGCUGAUGUUGACUUGAUUCUUGGUUACCACUCGACGAUGAGUGCUUCCAUUGCUAGCUAGUGCCUAGUGCUAGUUGCUAGAGCUACAGAGUGAAGAGAAGUGGAGAUUGAACACGUGCUCUUUUCUAGGGGUAUGUGGUGUUAGCUAAUCUGAUUGGAUAUUUGGAUCUUCCGUGAAUAAUAGCAUUAGAGCAACUUCAAGAGUUUCUAAAAAAUUCUUUUCCAAAAUGAGGUAUUGGAAGCUAUGUUAAAAAAAUUUUCCCCAAAAAUAUAUUAAUCCACGACAGAACAUUAAAAAUUAUCCUUAAUAAUUUUAUAAAAAAGCCACCUCACUCCCGCUCUCACCGUCCCUCUCCACCCUCGCCGUCGGGCUCACCCCCGCCGCCGAGGCUCUCGAUCGCCACCAAUGGCAGCGAAGGCGCCAUAGUCAGAGCUGGCCGUGGCUGGGCAGGCGGCGAACGCGGUGAAGGUGCCAAGGUGGCCGCAGCGGCGCGCCGACGCUGCUGUUCCUGAACGCAGGUGUGUAAGAUGAUCCCCUUGUUUUCUGAUGAAUCUCAGUUGGCUUGUUGAGGACCCAGAAAUACAAAACAACUUUAGAAUCGCAAAGGAUUUGCUGUGUAAGAUGGCUUCUUCAGAGAUUGCUGGCCAGGCACCACAGUAGCCAUCGUCAGGUGCUCAUCCACACCAAUACUGUUAGGAACGAACGGCGUAUGGAAUAUGAAGUAAAGAAUCAAACCGCAAGGAGACACACGAUUUACGUGGAAAACCCCUUCAAUGUGAAGGGGAAAAACCACGGGCACCAGCCGGCAACAAUCUCACUAUAUCAAGAGUUUGGGGUUACACGCCUACGGCGGCUUACAAGAGAAUCUGAUGAUCUCUCUCUCUUCUGUUUCUUCUGUCGCAUGAAACCCUAGCAAGGGUGUCGGUAUAUAU
This 28795-nucleotide long non-coding RNA is filed under the name Setaria italica (foxtail millet). Its description in RNAcentral is "long non-coding RNA (SITA_LNC000953)". The record is from RNAcentral. Lineage: Eukaryota; Viridiplantae; Streptophyta; Magnoliopsida; Poales; Poaceae.